CCUACGGGAGGCAGCAGUCGGGAAUAUUGCACAAUGGAGGAAACUCUGAUGCAGUGACGCCGCGUGCAGGACGAAGGUUUUCGGAUUGUAAACUGCCUUAGACAGGGAAGCAACAAGACAGUACAUGUCGUAUCAGCUCCGGCUAACUACGUGCCAGCAGCCGCGGUAAUACGGAGGGAGCACGCGUUAUCCGGAUUUAUUGGGUGUAACGGGUGCGUAGACGGGGAUGUAAAUUAAUUGUGAAAUCCCUCGUCUUAACUGAGGAACUGCAACUGAAACUGAAUUUCUUGAGAGCUGGAGAGGAAAGUGGAAUGCCCAGUGUAGCGGUGAAAUGCGUAGAUAUUAGGAGGAACACCAGUGGCGAAGGCGACUUUCUGGACCGGAACUGACGUUGAGGCACGAAAGUGUGGGUAUCAAACAGGAUUAGAUACCCGAGUAGUC
Molecule: ribosomal RNA, 441 nt
Filed under: uncultured bacterium
Lineage: Bacteria
Description: partial 16S ribosomal RNA
Rfam family: Bacterial small subunit ribosomal RNA
Source: RNAcentral